RNAcentral lists this ribosomal RNA (253 nucleotides) under uncultured bacterium. RNAcentral describes it as "partial 16S ribosomal RNA". It matches the Rfam family "Bacterial small subunit ribosomal RNA", at positions 524 to 776 of the family's 1533-position model. The record is from RNAcentral.
UACGGAGGGUGCAAGCGUUAUCCGGAUUCACUGGGUUUAACGGGAGCGCAGGCGGCUUGGUAAGUCAGUGGUGAAGGGCUUAAGCUUAACUUGGGAACUGCCAUUGAUACUAUCAGUCUUGAAUGUUGUUGAGGUUUGCGGAAUGGGUCAUGUAGCGGUGAAAUGCAUAGAUAUGACCCGGAACACCUAUUGCGAAGGCAGCAGGCUAAACAAAUAUUGACGCUGAGGCUCGAAAGCGUGGGGAUCAAACAGG